This 73-nucleotide transfer RNA is filed under the name Camelus bactrianus (Bactrian camel). It matches the Rfam family "tRNA". Rfam says of the family: Transfer RNA (tRNA) molecules are approximately 80 nucleotides in length. Their secondary structure includes four short double-helical elements and three loops (D, anti-codon, and T loops). RNAcentral also lists the same sequence under 2 other names. The record is from Rfam by way of RNAcentral. Lineage: Eukaryota; Metazoa; Chordata; Mammalia; Artiodactyla; Camelidae.
GAGGGUACAGCUCAAGUGGUAGAGCACAUGCUUAGCAUGCAUGAGGUCCUGGGUUCAAUCCCCAGUACCUCCA